Molecule: long non-coding RNA, 614 nt
Filed under: Panax ginseng (ginseng)
Lineage: Eukaryota; Viridiplantae; Streptophyta; Magnoliopsida; Apiales; Araliaceae
Description: long non-coding RNA (PGIN_LNC011730)
Source: RNAcentral
CAGAUGAAUUCUUUCGGAGGUUGCUUCUUGUUGGAGUUGGAGGUAGACCGGUGAAAGGAGAUUUUCCAUCUACCCAUUAUUGAUCUUUCUUUGCUCUCUGUUUCAAAUAAAGGUGGUAUUGUCGAGCAGAUAUUUAGUGAUUUUCUUGAAUGCCGCCGUGGUUUGGGGAUAAAUGAGAUACAAAAACAUGGCGAUAUUCGAGAGUGGGACUUAAGGACAGAGGGUUUAUGGUAUUGUUACGUGCUUCAUAAGGUGUACAUACAUUUGCUGGAAAAAAUGAUAGAGAAGGAGAAGGGGGUAAGAAACUGCUGGUACUAGUAGUACUGAACAGUAAACUGUAGUGCGUGCGUUGCGUAUAAAUAAAAUGUAAAAUUGUUGCGGCAUCGGUAUUGGAGGAAGAAUUUUGAGUUGACGAAAACAGAAGUUAAAACUAGGCAGCAACAUGAGUUUUUAAUAUUUUUAUAUGCUGUUCUCAUAUUCACUUUAUUUUUAAAUGAAGAAAAAUCAUGUAAAAAUAUCAAAAAAAUAUAUAUAUAAAUAAUUAUUCUACUAUAUUAUAAACACUAUUCUAACAACUAUCUGAUUAUGUUAGUCCUUUUACGAUUAAAUAAAUG